This 454-nucleotide ribosomal RNA is filed under the name Mycolicibacterium novocastrense. RNAcentral describes it as "bacterial SSU rRNA". It matches the Rfam family "Bacterial small subunit ribosomal RNA", at positions 33 to 501 of the family's 1533-position model. The record is from RNAcentral. Lineage: Bacteria; Bacillati; Actinomycetota; Actinomycetes; Mycobacteriales; Mycobacteriaceae.
ACGCUGGCGGCGUGCUUAACACAUGCAAGUCGAACGGAAAGGCCCUUUCGGGGGUACUCGAGUGGCGAACGGGUGAGUAACACGUGGGUGAUCUGCCCUGCACUUUGGGAUAAGCCUGGGAAACUGGGUCUAAUACCGAAUAUUUCCUUUUGGUCGCAUGGCUGGGAGGGGAAAGCUUUUGCGGUGUGGGAUGGGCCCGCGGCCUAUCAGCUUGUUGGUGAGGUUAUGGCUUACCAAGGCGACGACGGGUAGCCGGCCUGAGAGGGUGACCGGCCACACUGGGACUGAGAUACGGCCCAGACUCCUACGGGAGGCAGCAGUGGGGAAUAUUGCACAAUGGGCGCAAGCCUGAUGCAGCGACGCCGCGUGGGGGAUGACGGCCUUCGGGUUGUAAACCUCUUUCAAUAGGGACGAAGCGUAAGUGACGGUACCUAUAGAAGAAGGACCGGCCAAC